This 440-nucleotide ribosomal RNA is filed under the name uncultured bacterium. RNAcentral describes it as "partial 16S ribosomal RNA". It matches the Rfam family "Bacterial small subunit ribosomal RNA", at positions 338 to 795 of the family's 1533-position model. The record is from RNAcentral.
CCUCCGUUGUUCCGCCGUUCUUGCUAUUUUUCAAUUGUUGAAACCCUUAACCAGCAACGCCGCGUGAGGGAAGACGGUUUUCGGAUUGUAAACCUCUGUCCUCUGUGAAGAUAAUGACGGUAGCAGAGGAGGAAGCUCCUGCUAACUACGUGCCAGCAGCCGCGGUAAUACGUAGGGAGCAAGCGUUUUCCGGAUUUACUGGGUGUAAAGGGUGCGUAGGCGGCCCUGCAAGUCAGAAGUGAAAUCCAUGGGCUUAACCCGUGAACUGCUUUUGAAACUGUAGGGCUUGAGUGAAGUAGAGGCAGGCGGAAUUGCCGGUGUAGCGGUGAAAUGCGUAGAGAUCGGGAGGAACAUCAGUGGCGAAGGCGGCCUGCUGGGCUUUAACUGACGCUGAAGCACGAAAGCGUGGGUAGCAAACAGGAUUAGAUACCCUUGUAGUC